UCCAACCUCGUUCCCAGGCUCUUUCCUCUUGUCUUUGCUCCACAAGAGGAAAGAGCCUGGGAACGAGGUUGCAUGU
RNAcentral lists this microRNA precursor (76 nucleotides) under Paramuricea clavata. Lineage: Eukaryota; Metazoa; Cnidaria; Anthozoa; Malacalcyonacea; Plexauridae. The record is from RNAcentral.